This is a long non-coding RNA of Gopherus flavomarginatus (Mexican gopher tortoise), 1040 nucleotides long. RefSeq lists it as uncharacterized. The record is from RefSeq and is a predicted model, not a curated record. The transcript is spliced from 2 exons. NCBI's taxonomy places the organism in Eukaryota, Metazoa, Chordata, Testudines, Testudinidae.
GGCUCGGCUGAUUCUGUUUUCGUGCUCAGGUUGAGCGCGGGGCCGGGCCGGGCCGGGCCGGGUGUCUCAGCGCUGCUGGCCCGCUCGGGCCGGGUCAGCCUGUGGAGCCGGGCGAGCUCCGGGGAGCACGGGGCACCGGUUAGUGCCGUCACCCGGGUGAAAGCGGCACCCGCCCCGCUUAGGAGCCCCUGCAGAGCUCUUCUUCUGGUCUGGGAAAUGAGAGUCUCAGCUCAAUACGAGGUGGAACAGAUUGUUUAGCAUAAGCAGAUAAUACCUAUUUCACAGGACCAGUGUGACACACUGUACCUCAAAGUAGCACUCUGGACCCACCGUAUUGACCAUGGUGAUAUGAUUAUGAUAUUUUUUGUACAAAGCAUACCUUGUGAGGUAUCAUUUUAAAAGUCUUGAUCUGUUGAACAUUAAUACCCUGUUGGAUUGUAUGUACCAUCAUUGUAUGUGAAGUUAUGAAGUAUUUAUAUGUGUUUUGAAAUAUGUUGUGAACACCCACAACCAGUCUUUCAGUUACAACAAAGGAGUAGCCAGACAGCAUUAAUGGCUCAUCAGCACCCAUCAAGAAAAGAAUCCAUUAUCUCAGAGACUCCUUAGAGAAGGCACAUAUGCAGUGGAGACUGCUUGACCAGUGAGGACUUCCUGAUCCCCUAAGAAAGAAUAAAAGAAUGGAUGUGACAUAAUCACUUAGCCUCUCUCUUUCUCUCUCCCCACCCCUCCAGCACUCUCCCCAUCCCUCUAACUCAACACCAUAGAAGAAUGUCUGGAGGACAAAGACUUUGAACUGGGGAAGUUUGGUUGCAGGCUGGAAGGUAGUCCCAGUCUGUGUAUUAAAGAACUGUAACCUGCUUGUACUAUGUUUCAGGGUGAGACAUUGUUUGAUUCAACUGUUGCUUAGACUACAUUUUAGGAUUUAGAAUGUAUUUACACUUUUCAUUUCAACUAUCUCUGACCUUUAUGUCUACCACUUAUAAUCACUUUAAAAUGUAUCUUUCUGUAGUUAAUAAAUCUGUUUUAUAUUUUUCCUAAAA